Molecule: ribosomal RNA, 551 nt
Filed under: Choerophryne rostellifer (Torricelli mountain frog)
Lineage: Eukaryota; Metazoa; Chordata; Amphibia; Anura; Microhylidae
Description: partial 12S ribosomal RNA
Rfam family: Bacterial small subunit ribosomal RNA (bases 1-391)
Source: RNAcentral
UCUAUAAUCGAUUCCCCCCGAUCUACCUCACCACUUCUUGAUCCCAGUCUAUAUACCUCCGUCGUAAGCUUACCGUGUGAACGCACCUAGUAGGCUAAAAGAUUUAUCACCCAUACGUCAGGUCAAGGUGUAGCCUACGAAGCGGAAAGAAAUGGGCUACAAUCUCUACUUUAGAACAAACGGAAAGCUGCAUGAAACACAGCUUCUGAAGGCGGAUUUAGUAGUAAAAAGAAAAUAGAGCGUUCUUUUUAACCAGGCACUGGGACGCGUACACACCGCCCGUCACCCUCUUCAGACAAAUUUUAAAGUUACUAACACCACUUAAUCAUACAGAAGAGGCAAGUCGUAACAUGGUAAGUGUACUGGAAAGUGUACUUGGAACAAAAUGUAGCUUAAUUAAAGCAUCUUGCUUACACCAAGAGUAUGUCCGUGAAACUCCAACCAUUUUGAGCCUAACUUACAGCCCCCCCCCAAUAACUUUCUUUCUUCCCUAACAGACUAAUUAAAACAUUUAAUGAAUUUAGUAAAGGUGAUUAAAAAACUUCUAGGAG